RNAcentral lists this ribosomal RNA (544 nucleotides) under uncultured bacterium. Its description in RNAcentral is "bacterial SSU rRNA". It matches the Rfam family "Bacterial small subunit ribosomal RNA", at positions 777 to 1319 of the family's 1533-position model. The record is from RNAcentral.
AAUAGAUACCCGGGUAGUCCAUGCCGUAAACGUUGGGCACUAGGUGUGGGGCUCAUUCCACGAGUUCCGUGCCGCAGCUAACGCAUUAAGUGCCCCGCCUGGGGAGUACGGCCGCAAGGCUAAAACUCAAAGGAAUUGACGGGGGCCCGCACAAGCGGCGGAGCAUGCGGAUUAAUUCGAUGCAACGCGAAGAACCUUACCAAGGCUUGACAUAUACCGAAAACUCGUAGAGAUACGGGGUCCGCAAGGGCGGUAUACAGGUGGUGCAUGGUUGUCGUCAGCUCGUGUCGUGAGAUGUUGGGUUAAGUCCCGCAACGAGCGCAACCCUCGUCCUAUGUUGCCAGCGGGUAAUGCCGGGGACUCAUAGGAGACUGCCGGGGUCAACUCGGAGGAAGGUGGGGAUGAGGUCAAAUCAUCAUGCCCCUUAUGUCUUGGGCUUCACGCAUGCUACAAUGGCCGGUACAAAGGGCUGCGAUACCGCAAGGGUGGAGCGAAAUCUCAAAAAGCCGGUCUCAGUUCGGAUUGGGGUCUGCAACUCGACCCU